RNAcentral lists this ribosomal RNA (898 nucleotides) under Halomonas smyrnensis. Its description in RNAcentral is "partial 16S ribosomal RNA". The record is from RNAcentral. Lineage: Bacteria; Pseudomonadati; Pseudomonadota; Gammaproteobacteria; Oceanospirillales; Halomonadaceae.
CGCCCUCCGAAGUUAGGCUAACCACUUCUGGUGCAGUCCACUCCCAUGGUGUGACGGGCGGUGUGUACAAGGCCCGGAACGUAUUCACCGUGCCAUUCUGAUGCACGAUUACUAGCGAUUCCGACUUCACGGAGUCGAGUUGCAGACUCCGAUCCGGACUGAGACCGGCUUUAUGAGAUUAGCUCCCCCUCGCGGGAUUGCAGCCCAUUGUACCGGCCAUUGUAGCACGUGUGUAGCCCUACUCGUAAGGGCCAUGAUGACCUGACGUCGUCCCCACCUUCCUCCGGUUUGUCACCGGCAGUCUCCCUAGAGUUCCCGACCGAAUCGCUGGCAAAUAGGGACAAGGGUUGCGCUCGUUACGGGACUUAACCCAACAUUUCACAACACGAGCUGACGACGGCCAUGCAGCACCUGUCUGAGCGUUCCCGAAGGCACCAAUCCAUCUCUGGAAAGUUCGCUCGAUGUCAAGAGUAGGUAAGGUUCUUCGCGUUGCAUCGAAUUAAACCACAUGCUCCACCGCUUGUGCGGGCCCCCGUCAAUUCAUUUGAGUUUUAACCUUGCGGCCGUACUCCCCAGGCGGUCGACUUAUCGCGUUAACUGCGCCACAAAGGUCUCGAGGACCCCAACGGCUAGUCGACAUCGUUUACGGCGUGGACUACCAGGGUAUCUAAUCCUGUUUGCUACCCACGCUUUCGCACCUCAGCGUCAGUGUCAGUCCAGAAGGCCGCCUUCGCCACUGGUAUUCCUCCCGAUCUCUACGCAUUUCACCGCUACACCGGGAAUUCUACCUUCCUCUCCUGCACUCUAGCCUGACAGUUCCGGAUGCCGUUCCCAGGUUGAGCCCGGGGCUUUCACAACCGGCUUAUCAAGCCGCCUACGCGCGCUUUACGCCCAGUAA